This 429-nucleotide ribosomal RNA is filed under the name uncultured bacterium. RNAcentral describes it as "bacterial SSU rRNA". It matches the Rfam family "Bacterial small subunit ribosomal RNA", at positions 355 to 776 of the family's 1533-position model. The record is from RNAcentral.
UGGGGAAUUUUGGACAAUGGACGCAAGUCUGAUCCAGCCAUUCCGCGUGCAGGACGAAGGCCUUCGGGUUGUAAACUGCUUUUGUACGGAACGAAAAGGCUUCUCCUAAUACGAGAGGCUCAUGACGGUACCGUAAGAAUAAGCACCGGCUAACUACGUGCCAGCAGCCGCGGUAAUACGUAGGGUGCAAGCGUUAAUCGGAAUUACUGGGCGUAAAGCGUGCGCAGGCGGUUAUAUAAGACAGAUGUGAAAUCCCCGGGCUCAACCUGGGAACUGCAUUUGUGACUGUAUAGCUGGAGUACGGCAGAGGGGGAUGGAAUUCCGCGUGUAGCAGUGAAAUGCGUAGAUAUGCGGAGGAACACCGAUGGCGAAGGCAAUCCCCUGGGCCUGUACUGACGCUCAUGCACGAAAGCGUGGGGAGCAAACAGG